RNAcentral lists this ribosomal RNA (689 nucleotides) under uncultured Microbacteriaceae bacterium. RNAcentral's name for it is "bacterial SSU rRNA". It matches the Rfam family "Bacterial small subunit ribosomal RNA", at positions 95 to 798 of the family's 1533-position model. The record is from RNAcentral. Lineage: Bacteria; Bacillati; Actinomycetota; Actinomycetes; Micrococcales; Microbacteriaceae.
GUGGCGAACGGGUGAGUAACACGUGAGCAAUCUGCCCUUGACUCUGGGAUAACUGCGGGAAACUGUAGCUAAUACCGGAUACUUUCCUCGCUGGGCAUCCAGCGGGGAAGAAAGAAUUUCGGUCAAGGAUGAGCUCGCGGCCUAUCAGCUAGUUGGUGAGGUAAUGGCUCACCAAGGCGACGACGGGUAGCCGGCCUGAGAGGGUGACCGGCCACACUGGAACUGAGACACGGUCCAGACUCCUACGGGAGGCAGCAGUGGGGAAUAUUGCACAAUGGGCGAAAGCCUGAUGCAGCAACGCCGCGUGGGGGAUGAAGGCCUUCGGGUUGUAAACCUCUUUUAGCAGGGAAGAAGCGAAAGUGACGGUACCUGCAGAAAAAGCACCGGCUAACUACGUGCCAGCAGCCGCGGUAAUACGUAGGGUGCAAGCGUUGUCCGGAAUUAUUGGGCGUAAAGAGCUCGUAGGCGGUUUGUCACGUCUGCUGUGAAAAUCCGAGGCUCAACCUCGGACUUGCAGUGGGUACGGGCAGGCUAGAGUGCGGUAGGGGAGAAGGGAAUUCCUGGUGUAGCGGUGGAAUGCGCAGAUAUCAGGAGGAACACCAAUGGCGAAGGCACUUCUCUGGGCCGUAACUGACGCUGAGGAGCGAAAGCGUGGGGAGCGAACAGGAUUAGAUACCCUGGUAGUCCAC